Molecule: ribosomal RNA, 2966 nt
Filed under: Gemmatimonadota bacterium
Lineage: Bacteria; Pseudomonadati; Gemmatimonadota
Description: 23S ribosomal RNA
Rfam family: Bacterial large subunit ribosomal RNA
Source: RNAcentral
AGUCAAGCGAGCGAAGGCAUGUGGGGGAUGCCUGGGUACACGGAGGCGACGAAGGCCGUGGUAAGCUGCGAUAAGCCAGGGGGAGCGGCACACACGCAUUGAGCCCUGGAUGGCCGAAUGGGGAAACCCGGCUGGGCGCGAGUCCAGUCACACUCCCGCAAGGGAGUGAGCGAACCCGGGGAACUGAAACAUCUCAGUACCCGGAGGAAGAGAAAUCAACCGAGAUGGCCCAAGUAGCGGCGAGCGAACGGGCCCCAGCCCAAACCGAUCUCCUUGUGGGAUCGGGGUUGUAGGACCCACAGACGCCGGAGUAAGAGGUCAGCCGAAGUCCCCUGGAAUGGGGCGCCAGAGACGGUGAGAGCCCGGUACGCGAAGAUUUCUGCGCCGGUAGUGGAGUUCCUGAGUAACGCCCGACUCGAGUAAUCGGGCGUGAAUCUGGGGGGACCACCCUCCAAGGCUAAAGACUCCCGUGUAACCGAUAGUGGACGAGUACCGUGAGGGACAGGUGAAAAGCACCCCAGUGCGGGGAGUGAAAGAGAUCCUGAAACCACAUGCCUACAAGCGGUAGGAGGGUGGUCAGGGCCUUCGGGUUCUGACGCGCCUGACUGCGUGCCUUUUGCAUUAUGAUCCGGCGAGUUACUCCUCAGGAGCGAGGCUAAGCUGGUAUCCAGCGGAGCCAGAGCGAAAGCGAGUCCUGUAACGAGGGCGACCAAUGAGUUCCUGGGGGUAGACCCGAAGCCAGGGCGAUCUACCCAUGAGCAGGGUGAAGCUUCGGUAACACGAAGUGGAGGCCCGCACCGGUGUGGGUUGAAAACCGCUCGGAUGACUUGUGGGUAGGGGUGAAAGGCCAAUCAAGCCUGGAGAUAGCUGGUUCUCCCCGAAAUCUAUUGAGGUAGAGCCUCGGGAAUAUGUCAGCAGGAGGUAGAGCGACUGGAUGGGCGCGGGUGGCGACAAGCCAUACCAACCCCAACCAAACUCCGAAUGCCUGACUGAUGAAGCCCGGGAGGCAGUCGCUGAGCGAUAAUGUCCAGCGGCGAGAGGGAAAGAACCCAGAGCCACCGCUAAGGCCCCAAAGUGGCCGCUCAGUAUAGCGAAGGAUGUGUUCGUGCUGUGACAACUGGGAGGUUGGCUUAGAAGCAGCCAUUCCUUUAAAGAGUGCGUAAUAGCUCACCAGUCCAGCGUGAAUGCGCCGAGAAUGGUCGGGAUUAAGCGGCCCGCCGAAGCGUGGCCUUGACCGCAAGGUCAGGGGUAGGGGAGCGUUCCCAUAACAGUGAAGGGCCCGUGGAAACGUUGGCCUGGAGUGGUGGGAAGUGAGGAUGCCGGAAUGAGUACGCGCAAAUCGGGGUGAAAACCCCCGACACCGUAAGCCCAAGGAUUCCUGCGCCAUGGCAAUCAGCGCAGGGUGAGGCGGACCCUAAGGCGAGGCCCCAGAGGCGUAGCCGAUGGACAGCCGGCGAAUAUUCCGGCCCCGUCCGCGAGACGUUUGACCAGCUGAGGGACACUGGAACAAAGCAGCGGCGGCCAUGUGGACGGCCGUCCAACCGCGUAGGGCGCAAGCCCGAGACGGGAUGGCGAGGGAAGGCUUUCGGGCCGACCCGAGCGUUGUGGAGUCGACAGGCAAGAAAAGCUCAGUCUGGGAGUCGCGCGCGACGUCCGUACCGUAAACCGACACAGGUGGGCGAGGCGAGUAGCCUCAGGUGAACGAGUGAAACGUGGUCAAGGAACUCGGCAUACUGAUCCCGUAACUUCGGAAGAAGGGAUGCCCCGUGGGGUAGCCAGGUUUACCCUGGUCGCUCGACGGGGUCGCAGUGAAUCGGCCCAAGCGACUGUUUAGCAAAAACACAGGUGUGUGCCAAGCCGCACAAGGCGCCGUAUACACACUGACGCCUGCCCGGUGCCGGAAGGUUAAGGGGAGAGGUCAGCCCGCAAGGGUGAAGCCUUGAGCCGAAGCCCCGGUAAACGGCGGCCGUAACUAUAACGGUCCUAAGGUAGCGAAAUUCCUUGUCGGGUAAGUUCCGACCUGCACGAAUGGCGUAACGACUUGGGCACUGUCUCGACCACGUGCUCGGCGAAAUUGCAGUCUCGGUGAGGAUUCCGAGUCCCCGCGACAGGACAAAAAGACCCCAUGCACCUUUACUGUAGCUUGUCAUUGGACGUUGCACUUCACUGUGUAGCAUAGGUGGGACCCUGCGAGCCCGGCGCGCUAGCGUCGGGGGAGGGGCCAGUGAAAUACCACCCUGUGUUGUGCGACGCCCUCACCCAGACGGGCAAACCCCGUCGGGGACCGUGGCAGGUGGGCAGUUUGACUGGGGCGGUCGCCUCCGAAAGAGUAACGGAGGCGCGCGCAUGGUGCCCUCAGUGCGGUCGGUAAUCGCACGGCGAGCGUAACGGCAGAAGGGCGCCUGACGGUGAGAGCGACAGCUCGAACCGGCACGAAAGUGGGCCGUAGUGAUCCGGUAGCCCGGUGUGGAUCGGCUAUCGCGCAACGGAUAAAAGGUACGCUGGGGAUAACAGGCUUAUCGCGCCCGAGAGUUCACAUCGACGGCGCGGUUUGGCACCUCGAUGUCGGCUUAUCACAUCCUGGGGCUGGAGAAGGUCCCAAGGGUCCGGCUGUUCGCCGGUUAAAGUGGUACAUGAGCUGGGUUCAGAACGUCGUGAGACAGUUCGGUCUGUAUCCGUCGUGGGCGUUGGAGUGUUGAGGGGCGCGGACCCUAGUACGAGAGGACCGGGUCGGACUGCCCGCUCGUGUCCCGGCUGUGCCGCCAGGUGCAACGCCGGGUAGCGAUGGCAGGCGGGGAUAACCGCUGAACGCAUCUAAGUGGGAAGCCCCCCCCGAGAUGAACACUCCCUUGCUCCUAGAGAGCACUAAAGGGCCGUGAGAGACCAUCACGUCGAUAGGCCGCCCGUGGACAUGGGGCAACCCAUUCCGAGCGCAGCGGUCCUAAUCGCCCGUGCGGCUUGACUAC